AUGAGUGGCCCGAGGCAAGGCUCAUCGCAGCCGCAGUUCAUGACUAGUGUCGGGCAGAACAACAAUCUCUCGAAUGGACCGGGGACUCCUCUCAUUGACAGCAUAGAUGUUGAUCAGAUUGUCAUCCCCGAGAAAAAUAGCUGGAAGAACUUAUUUUCAUACAUAGGGCCCGGCUUUCUCGUCUCUAUCGCGUAUAUCGAUCCUGGCAAUUUUGAGACCGACCUACAGGCUGGAGCACAAUACAAAUAUGAGCUUCUUUGGAUCAUACUUAUCGCGUCAUGUGCUGCACUUGUAAUUCAAUCACUUGCAGCCAGCCUUGGGGUUGUGACUGGGAAGCAUCUUGCUGAGCACUGCAGGGAUGAAUAUCCCAAGGUCACAAAUUUCAUCUUAUGGAUUCUUGCAGAACUGGCUGUAGUUGCGUGCGACAUUCCUGAAGUAAUUGGAACCGCUUUUGCUUUGAACAUGCUCUUCAAAAUUCCGAUAUGGUGUGGUGUUCUCAUAACUGGGCUCAGCACUCUGAUGCUCCUGUUCCUGCAACAAUAUGGGGUCCGUAAACUGGAAUUUCUGAUAGCAUUUUUGGUAUUCUUGAUAGCAACUUGCUUCUUAGUUGAACUUGGGUAUUCUAAACCAAAUUCUUCAGAAGUUGUGCGAGGCCUUUUUGUUCCUGAAAUUAAAGGAGAUGGAGCUACAGGUCUUGCUAUCUCACUACUUGGUGCUAUGGUGAUGCCGCACAAUCUUUUUCUCCACUCAGCAUUGGUACUGUCAAGAAAAGUACCACGAUCAGUUCAUGGGAUCAAAGAGGCCUGUAGAUUCUAUAUGAUUGAAAGUGCAUUUGCCCUCACAGUAGCAUUUCUGAUCAACAUCUCUAUCAUAUCUGUUAGUGGUGCAGUUUGCAGUGCAGAUAAUUUGAACCCUGAAGACCGGAUGAAUUGCAAUGAUCUAGAUCUUAACAAAGCUUCAUUCUUGUUAAAGAAUGUCCUCGGAAAUUGGAGCUCAAAGGUGUUCGCUAUUGCCUUAUUGGCAUCUGGCCAGAGUUCUACGAUUACAGGAACUUAUGCAGGACAAUAUGUCAUGCAGGGGUUUCUGGAUCUUCGGAUGACGCCCUGGUUACGGAACCUUCUAACUAGGUCCCUGGCAAUUGUGCCUAGUCUGAUUGUGUCACUAAUUGGCGGUUCCUCAGCAGCUGGGAAGUUGAUUAUCAUUGCUUCGAUGAUUCUGUCAUUUGAACUUCCUUUUGCUCUAGUACCACUCCUUAAAUUCACCAGCAGCAAAACAAAGAUGGGGCCACACACAAAUUCAAGAUUCAUCUCCGUGCUCACAUGGGCGAUCGGCUCCUUCAUCAUGGUCAUCAACAUCUACUUCCUGAUAACGAGCUUCGUCAGGCUGCUUCUUCACAGUGUACUAUCCACCGUCUCCCAAGUGUUCUCCGGUAUAUUUGGGUUCCUCGGCAUGCUGAUAUACAUCGCCGCGAUCCUCUACCUCGUCUUCAGGAAGAACAGGAAGUGUACCUUGCCAUUGCUCGAGAGUGACGCGAAGCUUGGGGACGCAGGCCACACCGAGGGAGAAGGUUCUCUGGGUCAUCUUCCGCGAGAGGAUAUCUCCAGCAUGCAGCUUCCUCAUCAGCGCCCUGCGUCUGAUUUGGACUAG
RNAcentral lists this ribosomal RNA (1647 nucleotides) under Triticum aestivum (bread wheat). Its description in RNAcentral is "partial small subunit ribosomal RNA". Lineage: Eukaryota; Viridiplantae; Streptophyta; Magnoliopsida; Poales; Poaceae. The record is from RNAcentral.